ACCAGCACCUGAUCAUUUCUGGACCAAAUAAAGACAGAAGACAGAAAAUUCGCCUUCUCUUUCUCUCUCUAAAACAAAAACUAUACCAAAGGAGCUUUGGCUGGGGAACUUUCAUGGACUGACUAGAGCUCAGUUUAAUCUGCAAAUCCCAUUUCAGGAACUGUGUUGUUUAUCCCUGUGUUAUCUCCAAGGGUUGCAUGUUUGAUCCCUUGUAGUGUGAUCUUUUGUACUUAUUUUUGCUUUUCUAGCAUUUCAUUGUUUUUUCUGUGCACUGAGAUUGUUGGGUGCUAAACAUUUGGCAAGGUUGCUUUGUAGACGAUAGAUUGUUUGUACUGCUUCAAAUUUGUGCCAAUGGAACACCAUUUUGGUCAAGACGCUGCUCCUGCAUCUGGGUCCUUUGAUAAAACUAGGGUUUUGAACGUGAAGCCAUUAAGAACGCUUGUUCCUGUGUUCCCUUCACCAUCCAAUCCUGCUUCAUCUUCAGCUCCCCAAGGGGGUGCUCCAUUUGUCUGUGUUUCACCUUCUGGUCCUUUCCCUUCUGGGGUUGCACCCUUCUAUCCAUUCUUCAUCUCCCCGGAGUCCCAGAGGCUCUCAGAGCAGAAUGCACAAACCCCCACUGGUCAACGUGUGCCUGCUACUCCUGCUGCUCCUAUAUCGACUGCUGUUCCAAUUAAUUCAUUCAGGACGCCAACUGGAGCUACUAAUGGUGAUGUGGGCACAUCGAGGAGGAGUACCCGAAGUCGGGGACAGGUCGCACAGGAAGAUGGCUACAGUAAUGCUGUGAUAGAGGAAGUUGAGGCAGAUGCAACAACUGUGACUAAAAGAUCAAAGCGCAAGUUGCAGAACAAGAUAAAGGGACCGCAGAGUGUUGGUUCUGGGGAUGUUGAUCCAGAUGCAGUGGCUGCUGAUAUUCUCAAGUCACUUAACCCAUUGGUUUUUAAUGUACUAAAUCAACCCGAAGGUAGCAGGGACUCAGUUGCAUAUACACUCAUGAUAUAUGAAGUAAUGCGAAGGAAGCUUGGACAAAUUGAGGACUCAAAUAGGGCUGCUAACGCUGUAGCAAAACGACCAGACUUGAGGGCAGGUGCAAUUAUGAUGAAUAAAGGGAUUCGGACCAACAGCAAGAAACAUAUUGGACUUGUGUCUGGUGUUGAGAUUGGGGAUAUUUUCUUUUUCAGAUUUGAAUUAUGCUUAGUGGGAUUACAUUCACCUUCUAUGGCUGGAAUUGAUUACAUCGGUACCAAAACCAGUCAAGAGGAAGAGCCCUUAGCUGUAAGUAUUGUCUCAUCUGGAGGGUAUGAAGAUGAUGUGGAGGAUGGGGAUCUGCUGAUUUACAGUGGCCAAGGUGGGGUUAACCGUGACAAGGGAGCAAGUGAUCAAAAGCUUGAAAGGGGUAAUCUUGCUUUGGAUAACAGUGCUCAUAGAGGUAACGAAGUGAGGGUAAUUAGGGGUUUGAAGGAUUUGUAUCAUCCAACGGGGAAGGUAUAUGUCUAUGAUGGUCUUUACAAGAUUCAAGACUCCUGGGUGGACAAAUCAAAAUCUGGUUUCAAUGUGUUCAAGUAUAAAUUAGGCAGGUUGCCUGGACAGCCUCCAGCAUAUAUGAUUUGGAAAUCCAUUCAACAAUGGACUGAGAAAUCUGCUCCAAGAGCUGGGGUUAUAUUGCCUGAUCUUACUUCUGGGGCCGAAAAAGUACCUGUUUGUCUUGUGAAUGAUGUUGAUGCCGAGAAGGGCCCUGCAUAUUUCACUUACCUCCCAAAUCUUAAGAAUUUGAGGCCAACUGCUCCCCUGGAAUCCUCUAUUGGAUGUUCUUGUGUUGGUGGAUGCCAACCUAACAAUUCUAACUGUCCUUGUGUUCAAAAGAAUGGUGGCUAUCUACCAUAUUCUUCAGCUUCAUUAAUUGCAGACCUAAAAUCUGUUAUAUAUGAGUGUGGUCCUUCUUGUCAAUGUCCUCCUAAUUGCCGAAACAGGGUUUCUCAAAGUGGCUUGAAGUUUCGUUUGGAGGUUUAUAAAACCAAGAAUAAAGGAUGGGCUCUUAGAUCAUGGGAUGCUAUUCGAGCAGGAUCUUUCAUAUGUGAGUAUGCUGGGGAAGUCAUAGACAGUGCCAGAGUGGAGGAGGAGCUUGGUGGUGACAAUCUUGAUGAUUACAUUUUUGAUUCUACUCGCAUUUAUCAACAACUGGAAGUUUUUCCAGAUGACACUGAAGCUCCAAAAAUCCCAUCCCCCCUAUAUAUAUCAGCAAUUAAUGAAGGGAAUGUUGCUCGGUUUAUGAAUCACAGCUGUUCUCCAAAUGUAUUAUGGCGUCCAGUCAUACAUGAAAAUAAGAAUUUUUCAGAUCUCCACAUUGCUUUCUAUGCAAUUAGACAUAUCCCUCCUAUGAUGGAGUUAACUUUUGAUUAUGGGACGGUUCUUCCUCUCAAGGCAGGUCAUAGGAAAAAGAAAUGCUUAUGUGAAUCUGUGAAAUGCAGGGGUUACUUUUGUUAAUUAUUUGUCCUAUGAGUUUUGGAUGAAGAGGCCUCUGAAUGAAUGUACUGAAGGAUAAGGUGUAUAAUUUCUGUCUUUGUGGCGUAGAAAUAGCAUAAAUGUAGAACGUGAUUUAUGACAUUGCAUCAUGUUUCUCAGCUGUAGCUGUAAAACCAGACAGCAGGAUGGAACUGCUUAGAAAGAUGUUAGCAGACAAACUUUUCUUUUUGGCAAACCUAGUAAAUUAUCACUUGAAAGAUCAAGUUGCCUAUUUACUGAUGUGGGUAAGUUAAGUUGUAAAAGUUAACUGUAGACACAUUUUGUGUAGAUUGUUUCUUUUUUCCGCUGUUAGAUACAUUUUUUUCUUCCUCAUGAAUGGAUUUUGACUAGGGCUGUUAGUAGUCCACAUUUUGAACUAGAUCCGUAGAAUUGGAUAUUUAAGUUUAUUACCAUCAUUUCCAAAAA
RNA transcript from Vigna angularis (adzuki bean), 2925 nucleotides. It is a transcript of the gene named histone-lysine N-methyltransferase, H3 lysine-9 specific SUVH1, with no coding region annotated. The record is from RefSeq and is a predicted model, not a curated record. Lineage: Eukaryota; Viridiplantae; Streptophyta; Magnoliopsida; Fabales; Fabaceae. The transcript has 3 exons.